This is a non-coding RNA of Vicia faba (fava bean), 195 nucleotides long. Lineage: Eukaryota; Viridiplantae; Streptophyta; Magnoliopsida; Fabales; Fabaceae. The record is from the annotation of a GenBank genome assembly.
AUGUUCAAUUCCAUAAAAAGUUUAAUCAUUUCAACUGUUAGAGAGAAAAAUGUGAGACUGAAUAUGGAAUGCAUCUUCGACAUGUUUUGUUCUCUCUUUCGGAAUCGUCUUCUCUCUUUUAUAUUUGCAAAAUCUUUCCUCUAUGUGCUUAAGUUUUGUUUGUUUUGUUUACAGAUUAAAAAAAUUCAUCCAUGA